AUGUAUUCGUUUCUUGAGAAAGAUCUUGCUGGGUGUGAUUACCGAUGGAUUUGGAAAGCCAAAUUACCGAUAAAAAUUCAGAUCUUCCUAUGGCAACUAUUCCAAGAUGCCGUAUUAAUCAGAGAUGUUAUGAAGCGUAAAAAUUGGGUGGGUGACCUCCGUUGUUCGUUUUGUGAUUGCAGAGAGACUUAUACUCAUCUGUUUUUUCUCUGCCCUGUGGCCAGGAUUGCCUGGCGCACAGUUGGGGCGGUCCUUGGUACGGAUUUAUGUCCUAAUAACAUAUGUCAAUUCUAUUCUUGGUGUUAUGCUUUCCUACCCAGUGGGGAACGCUACUUCACUAUGGGAUUAGCGGCUAUAUAUUGGGCUGUCUGGAAUUGUAGAAAUCGGGCCACUUCUGAACAUAAGAAGAUGGCAUCUCCUUUUGAGAUUGUUUUCACAGCUUGUGUGCAUCUCAAUUAUUGGGCAGGUCUCCUGAAGAGCGCGGACCGAGCGGAGCUGGAGCACGGGGCGCUGAUGCUGAAGAUACUGCUAAGAAGAUGA
This 540-nucleotide ribosomal RNA is filed under the name Triticum aestivum (bread wheat). RNAcentral describes it as "partial small subunit ribosomal RNA". Lineage: Eukaryota; Viridiplantae; Streptophyta; Magnoliopsida; Poales; Poaceae. The record is from RNAcentral.